This is a non-coding RNA of Podarcis lilfordi (Lilford's wall lizard), 77 nucleotides long. NCBI's taxonomy places the organism in Eukaryota, Metazoa, Chordata, Lepidosauria, Squamata, Lacertidae. The record is from the annotation of a GenBank genome assembly.
CAUUUACCAGCUCAGUUGGUAAAGCAUGAGACUCUUAAUCUCAGCAGGGCCAUGGAUUCAAGCCUCAUGUUGAGUGA